GUCGUACAAGGUAGCCGUAGAUUGCAUUUGCUGACGAGUGGCGCAGGGAAAAGUAACGCGUAUGCAAUCUACCUUGUACUGGAGUAUAGUCCAGGGAAACUUGGAUUAAUCCUCCAUAGUCUAUUGAUAUGGCAUCGUAUUAAUAGUAAAGGUUACGGUACAAGAUGAGCAUGCGUCCUAUUAGCUAGUAGGUGUGGUAACGGCACACCUAGGCAACGAUAGGUAGGGGUCCUGAGAGGGAGAUCCCCCACACUGGUACUGAGACACGGACCAGACUCCUACGGGAGGCAGCAGUGAGGAAUAUUGGACAAUGGGCGGGAGCCUGAUCCAGCCAUGCCGCGUGCAGGAAGACUGCCCUAUGGGUUGUAAACUGCUUUUAUACGGGAAGAAUAAGUGUUACGUGUAGCACGAUGACGGUACCGUAAGAAUAAGCACCGGCUAACUCCGUGCCAGCAGCCGCGGUAAUACGGAGGGUGCAAGCGUUAUCCGGAAUCAUUGGGUUUAAAGGGUCCGUAGGUGGACUAAUAAAUCAGUGGUGAAAGUCUGCAGCUUAACUGUAGAAUUGCCAUUGAUACUGUUGGUCUUGAAUUGUUGUGAAGUAACUAGAAUAUGUAGUGUAGCGGGUGAAAUGCAUAAAUAUUACAUAGAAUACCGAUUUGCGAAGGGCAGGUUUACUAACAAUAUAUUGACACCUGGAUGGACGAAAGCCGUGGGGAGCGAAACAGGGAUUAGAUACCCCUGG
RNAcentral lists this ribosomal RNA (742 nucleotides) under Leeuwenhoekiella palythoae. Its description in RNAcentral is "bacterial SSU rRNA". It matches the Rfam family "Bacterial small subunit ribosomal RNA", at positions 61 to 791 of the family's 1533-position model. The record is from RNAcentral. Lineage: Bacteria; Pseudomonadati; Bacteroidota; Flavobacteriia; Flavobacteriales; Flavobacteriaceae.